UAGAGGUAUUAAAAGAUAUUGUGCUCCAUAUGACUAAUGGAAGAUGCUGAGGUUGAUAAUACUGUGAGAAAUAUUUUGUUAUGUAAUAAGCAUUUAUGAAAACUUUUCAUGUACUUUGUCAUAUCUGGGCUGAUCCUUCUGUAAAUUUUUUUUUGUACGUUUGUUAGUUGCAGGAAGUGACAUAAUACAGUAAACAUGCAGGGAGUUAGUUCUGUAACUAACUAGUAGCCAUUGCAACUGAAGAGAAGAGAGCAGCAUUGCCAAGGAUUGUGGUAGAAAGUCAGUGCGGCAUCUGUUCUUGGACGGCCUUUUGAUGAGUGUUCCUGAAAAUCUGACUUCCCCCUACUUUCUUCUAAAUUCCUGAUUAUGCAAUCCCUUUUACGUUGAACCAAACAGCAGUUACAACUGAAAAAGGACGCAUACAAAUUGUGGCCACUCACUUCAGGGCUGACACUUGAAAGUAUAUCAAAGUAUCCUGCAAACAGCCUAUCAUGUGUGUAUAAAAUUGUACAUUUCUUGACAAAAGCACAGCCUGAAGAACGCAGGACAAAACUUUUUGUGAGAAAGAAGAUCUUGCACAAACAGAACAAGAUGACUUUGGAGGAAAAGGAAACUAUGUACUGUCACUAAGUCAACACAAACUUAUCCAAGUGUGUCAUAGACUGAAGACAUAAUUCUGCACUGCCAACAACAAAAAGCUGUGCCUACAGCAGGUCUAUGGGUAAAGCCCUUCAUAUCCUCUUUACACCUAUGCCUUACAGAUCACUGCUUAUGUUACUAGUAUUUUUGUGCUUUUGCUAUGAAACUCUAGCAGCCAGAACUGAGAUUAGAUGUCUCCCUUUUCUUUUGUGUGAGAAUUGGCCUUACAGCAGCCAUGAAGAAGGUGCAGGAUAUGACCUGUCAGAGCACAGCAGCAUGGUACCACUCCACUGCUCAGUGGCACAUUCAGCAUGGAUUACCAUAUGGUUAUACAACACAAUGGAAAUGAAAUAAA
This is a long non-coding RNA of Tympanuchus pallidicinctus (lesser prairie-chicken), 994 nucleotides long. RefSeq lists it as uncharacterized. NCBI's taxonomy places the organism in Eukaryota, Metazoa, Chordata, Aves, Galliformes, Phasianidae. The record is from RefSeq and is a predicted model, not a curated record. The transcript has 4 exons.